This 447-nucleotide ribosomal RNA is filed under the name uncultured bacterium. Its description in RNAcentral is "bacterial SSU rRNA". It matches the Rfam family "Bacterial small subunit ribosomal RNA", at positions 355 to 825 of the family's 1533-position model. The record is from RNAcentral.
UGGGGAAUAUUGGACAAUGGGCGCAAGCCUGAUCCAGCCAUGCCGCGUGAGUGACGAAGGCCUUAGGGUUGUAAAGCUCUUUUGGCGGGGAAGAUAAUGACGGUACCCGCAGAAUAAGCUCCGGCUAACUUCGUGCCAGCAGCCGCGGUAAUACGAAGGGAGCUAGCGUUGUUCGGAAUCACUGGGCGUAAAGCGCACGUAGGUGGGCAGUUAAGUCAGGGGUGAAAGCCCGAGGCUCAACCUCUGAAUUGCCUCUGAUACUGGCUGUCUAGAGUUCGAGAGAGGUGAGUGGAAUUCCUAGUGUAGAGGUGAAAUUCGUAGAUAUUAGGAAGAACACCGGUGGCGAAGGCGGCUCACUGGCUCGAUACUGACACUGAGGUGCGAAAGCGUGGGGAGCAAACAGGAUUAGAUACCCCUGUAGUCCCUGAGCGGGCUGGCAAGGCGCAU